CGCGGUAUCCUAACCGUGCAAAGGUCGCAAAAUCACUUGUUCUUUAAAUAAGGACUUGUAUCAACGGCAUCACGAGGGUUCUACUGUCUCCUCUCUCCAAUCGGUGAAACUGAUCUCCCUAUGAAAAAGUGGGGAUAAACUUAUAAGACGAGAAGACCCCAUGGAGCUUUAAAACCUAUAGCAACCUAGCAAACACUUCCAUUUAGCUAUAAAACUAUGCUUAAGGACUUUAGGUUGGGAGGACCACGGAGCACAAAAUAACCUCCGCAAUGAAAAGAAUAAAAUCUUUACCAAAGAGCCACAACUCCAAGAAUUAGAAAACUAACGUACAUGACCCGAUAUCGAUCAAUGAACUAAGUUACCCUGGGGAUAACAGCGCAAUCCAUUCUGAGAGUUCAUAUCGACGAACGGGCUUACGACCUCGAUGUUGGAUCAGGGUAUCCUGGUGGUGCAGCCGCUACCGAAGGUUCGUUUGUUCAAC
Molecule: ribosomal RNA, 481 nt
Filed under: Pseudophilautus amboli
Lineage: Eukaryota; Metazoa; Chordata; Amphibia; Anura; Rhacophoridae
Description: partial 16S ribosomal RNA
Rfam family: Bacterial large subunit ribosomal RNA
Source: RNAcentral